This 492-nucleotide ribosomal RNA is filed under the name uncultured bacterium. Its description in RNAcentral is "bacterial SSU rRNA". It matches the Rfam family "Bacterial small subunit ribosomal RNA", at positions 29 to 496 of the family's 1533-position model. The record is from RNAcentral.
AACUAACGCUGGCGGCGUGCCUAACACAUGCAAGUCGAACGAGAAAGUUGGCUUCGGCCGAUGAGUAAAGUGGCGCACGGGUGAGUAACGCGUGGAUAAUCUGCCCUUUAGUUUGGAAUAACGUACCGAAAGGUGCGCUAAUACCGGAUAAUACUGAAUGACUACUGUUGUUUAGUCAAAGAAGGCUUCUGUUUACAUGCUUUUGCUGAAGGAUGAGUCCGCGUACCAUUAGCUAGUUGGUAGGGUAAUGGCCUACCAAGGCGACGAUGGUUAGCUGGUCUGAGAGGAUGAUCAGCCACACUGGAACUGAGACACGGUCCAGACUCCUACGGGAGGCAGCAGUGAGGAAUAUUGCGCAAUGGGGGCAACCCUGACGCAGCAACGCCGCGUGAGUGAGGAAGGUUUUCGGACCGUAAAGCUCUGUCGAGCGGGAAGAAAUGCAUGGUGGCUAAUAUCCAUCAUGCUUGACGGUACCGCUAAAGGAAGCACCGG